GGCCAUGUUGGUUAACAGAUCCUCAUCUGCUGGACGUCUGGCGAUGAUCUUUAUCGGUUGUCGUCAGUUGCCAGCACGUUUACUUUGAGAAAAUUAGAGUGCUAAAAGCAGGCUCACGCCUAUAUAUAUUGCAUGGAAUAAUGAAAUAAGAUCUCGAUUUUAUUUCGUUGGUUUUAGAAAUUGAGAUAAUGAUUAAUAGGAUCAGAGGGGGGCGUACGUACUGUGGUGUGAGAGGUGAAAUUCUUGGAUCGCCACAGGACGAACAGCAGCGAAGGCGUUCGCCAAGAAUGUUUUCAUUAAUCAAGAACGAAAGUUUGAGGUUCGAAGACGAUUAGAUACCGUCCUAGUUCAAACCAUAAACGUUGCCAACUGUCUUUUAGAUGCGGUUAUUUAUAUGACUCAUCUGGCGGAUCUCGAGAAAUCUAAGUUUUUAGGUUCCGGGGGAAGUAUGGUUGCAAAGCUGAAACUUAAAAGAAUUGACGGAAGGACACACAAGAAGUGGAACCUGUGGCCUAAUUUGACUCAACACGGGAAACCUUACUCGGCCAGGACACUUUUAGGAUUGACAGAUUGAGAGCUCUUUCUUGAUUAGGUGGGUGGUGGUGCAUGGUCGUUCGUAGUUCGUGGAGCGAUUUGUCUGAUUAAUUUCGAUAACGAACGAGACUCCGGCUUACUAAAUAGUCUAAAGUUCGAAGGGACUUUUCAAGACUUCUUAGCAGGAUAAGUGG
Molecule: ribosomal RNA, 728 nt
Filed under: uncultured eukaryote
Lineage: Eukaryota
Description: SSU rRNA
Rfam family: Eukaryotic small subunit ribosomal RNA
Source: RNAcentral